This 447-nucleotide ribosomal RNA is filed under the name uncultured bacterium. Its description in RNAcentral is "SSU rRNA". It matches the Rfam family "Bacterial small subunit ribosomal RNA", at positions 26 to 518 of the family's 1533-position model. The record is from RNAcentral.
AGAGCGAACGCUGGCGGCAUGCUUAACACAUGCAAGUCUGACGGGCAGCAAUGUCAGUGGCGGACGGGUGAGUAACGCGUAGGUAUCUAUCCUUGGGUGGGGGAUAACGUUGGGAAACUGACGCUAAUACCGCAUGACACCUGUGGGUCAAAGGCGCGAGUCGCCUGGGGAGGAGCCUGCGUACGAUUAGCUAGUUGGUGGGGUAAAGGCCUACCAAGGCUACGAUCGUUAGCUGGUCUGAGAGGAUGAUCAGCCACACUGGGACUGAGACACGGCCCAGACUCCUACGGGAGGCAGCAGUGGGGAAUAUUGGACAAUGGGCGAAAGCCUGAUCCAGCAAUGCCGCGUGUGUGAAGAAGGUCUUCGGAUUGUAAAGCACUUUCGGCGGGGACGAUGAUGACGGUACCCGCAGAAGAACGCCCCGGCUAACUUCGCGCCAGCAGCCGC